Salmo salar (Atlantic salmon) is the source of this 54-nucleotide non-coding RNA. The record is from Rfam. NCBI's taxonomy places the organism in Eukaryota, Metazoa, Chordata, Actinopteri, Salmoniformes, Salmonidae.
UGCAUUAACUACUGUAAGUCGCUCUGGAUAAAAGCAUCUGCUAAAUUACUAAAA